UACGGGGGGGGCAAGCGUUGUUCGGAAUUACUGGGCGUAAAGGGUUUGUAGGUGGCUUGUUAAGUCAGACGUGAAAUCCCUCAGCUUAACUGGGGAACUGCGUCUGAGACUGGGAAGCUUGAGUGCAGGAGAGGAACGCGGAAUUCCAGGUGUAGCGGUGAAAUGCGUAGAUAUCUGGAGGAACACCGGUGGCGAAGGCGGCGUUCUGGACUGUAACUGACACUGAAAGACGAAAGCCAGGGGAGCAAACGGG
This 253-nucleotide ribosomal RNA is filed under the name uncultured bacterium. RNAcentral describes it as "partial 16S ribosomal RNA". It matches the Rfam family "Bacterial small subunit ribosomal RNA", at positions 524 to 776 of the family's 1533-position model. The record is from RNAcentral.